This 79-nucleotide transfer RNA is filed under the name Draconibacterium sp. RNAcentral's name for it is "tRNA-Met". It matches the Rfam family "tRNA". Rfam says of the family: Transfer RNA (tRNA) molecules are approximately 80 nucleotides in length. Their secondary structure includes four short double-helical elements and three loops (D, anti-codon, and T loops). Further hydrogen bonds mediate the characteristic L-shaped molecular structure. tRNAs have two regions of fundamental functional importance: the anti-codon, which is responsible for specific mRNA codon recognition, and the 3' end, to which the tRNAs corresponding amino acid is attached (by aminoacyl-tRNA synthetases). tRNAs cope with the degeneracy of the genetic code in two manners: having more than one tRNA (with a specific anti-codon) for a particular amino acid; and 'wobble' base-pairing, i.e. permitting non-standard base-pairing at the 3rd anti-codon position. Lineage: Bacteria; Pseudomonadati; Bacteroidota; Bacteroidia; Marinilabiliales; Prolixibacteraceae. The record is from RNAcentral.
UGCGGGAUGGAGCAGUUGGCAGCUCGUUGGGCUCAUAUCCGCCAAAUGGCGGACGUAGGUUCAAGUCCUGCUCCCGCUA